AUUGAACGCUGGCGGCAGGCCUAACACAUGCAAGUCGAACGGUAACAGGAAACAGCUUGCUGUUUCGCUGACGAGUGGCGGACGGGUGAGUAAUGUCUGGGAAACUGCCUGAUGGAGGGGGAUAACUACUGGAAACGGUAGCUAAUACCGCAUAACGUCGCAAGACCAAAGAGGGGGACCUUCGGGCCUCUUGCCAUCGGAUGUGCCCAGAUGGGAUUAGCUAGUAGGUGGGGUAACGGCUCUCCUAGGCGACGAUCCCUACCUGGUCUGAGAGGAUGACCACCCAGCUGGGAUGUGAGACACGGCCGAGACUCCGACGGGGGGCAGCAGUGGGGAAUAUUGCACAAUGGGGGAAAGCCUGAUGUAGCCAUGCCGCGUGUAGGAAGAAGGCCCUCGGGUUGGAAAGUACUUUCAGCGGGGAGGAAGGGAGUAAAGUUAAUACCUUUACUCAUUGACGUUACCGGCAGAAGAAGCACCGGCUAACUCCGUG
RNAcentral lists this ribosomal RNA (490 nucleotides) under uncultured bacterium. Its description in RNAcentral is "partial 16S ribosomal RNA". It matches the Rfam family "Bacterial small subunit ribosomal RNA", at positions 30 to 507 of the family's 1533-position model. The record is from RNAcentral.